GAUGAACGCUAGCUACAGGCUUAACACAUGCAAGUCGAGGGGAAACGACAUCGAAAGCUUGCUUUUGAUGGGCGUCGACCGGCGCACGGGUGAGUAACGCGUAUCCAACCUGCCCAUCACUUGGGAAUAACCUUGCGAAAGUAAGACUAAUACCCAAUGACAUCCCACGAAGACAUCUGAAUGGGAUUAAAGAUUUAUCGGUGAUGGAUGGGGAUGCGUCUGAUUAGCUUGUUGGCGGGGUAACGGCCCACCAAGGCAACGAUCAGUAGGUGUUCUGAGAGUAAGGUCCCCCACAUUGGAACUGAGACACGGUCCAAACUCCUACGGGAGGCAGCAGUGAGGAAUAUUGGUCAAGGGGCGAGAGCCUGAACCAGCCAAGUAGCGUGCAGGAUGACGGCCCUAUGGGUUGUAAACUGCUUUUAUAAGGGAAUAAAGUGGGUCUCGUGAGACUUUUUGCAUGUACCUUAUGAAUAAGGACCGGCUAAUUCCGUG
This 492-nucleotide ribosomal RNA is filed under the name uncultured bacterium. Its description in RNAcentral is "partial 16S ribosomal RNA". It matches the Rfam family "Bacterial small subunit ribosomal RNA", at positions 28 to 507 of the family's 1533-position model. The record is from RNAcentral.